Xiphophorus maculatus (southern platyfish) is the source of this 169-nucleotide long non-coding RNA. RefSeq lists it as uncharacterized. NCBI's taxonomy places the organism in Eukaryota, Metazoa, Chordata, Actinopteri, Cyprinodontiformes, Poeciliidae. The transcript has 2 exons. The record is from RefSeq and is a predicted model, not a curated record.
AAGACGGUGAAGCUGGAGCCCAACGCCGUUCUGGGCUUCUACCUGCGGGUCACGUGCAAGGAGGAGAAGAGUCUGAGGAACAACAAGAACUUCACCACGCUGGAUGUUCAGAAGAACGGCGUUCGCUUCACAAACAGCAAGCUGAGCUCUCUGAACGAGGAGUACACCA